UACGAGGGAUGCAAGCGUUAUCCGGAAUUAUUGGGCGUAAAGCGUUCGUAGGUGGUCAGGUAAGUCUGUCGUUAAAGCAUGGAGCUCAACUCCAUAUCGGCGAUGGAAACUGCCCGACUUGAGUGUGGUAGGGGUAACAGGAAUUCCCAGUGUAGCGGUGAAAUGCGUAGAUAUUGGGAAGAACACCAGCGGCGAAAGCGUGUUACUGGGCCACAACUGACACUGAGGGACGAAAGCUAGGGGAGCGAAAGGG
This 253-nucleotide ribosomal RNA is filed under the name uncultured bacterium. RNAcentral's name for it is "partial 16S ribosomal RNA". It matches the Rfam family "Bacterial small subunit ribosomal RNA", at positions 524 to 776 of the family's 1533-position model. The record is from RNAcentral.